UCAGUCGACUCCUACGGGGAGGCAGCAGUGGGGGAAUAUUGCACAAUGGGCGCAAGCCUGAUGCAGCCAUGCCGCGUGUAUGAAGAAGGCCUUCGGGUUGUAAAGUACUUUCAGCAGUGAGGAAGGGUUCAUGCGUUAAUAGCGUAUGGAUUUGACGUUAGCUGCAGAAGAAGCACCGGCUAACUCCGUGCCAGCAGCCGCGGUAAUACGGAGGGUGCGAGCGUUAAUCGGAAUUACUGGGCGUAAAGCGCAUGCAGGUGGUUUGUUAAGUCAGAUGUGAAAGCCCGGGGCUCAACCUCGGAAUUGCAUUUGAAACUGGCAGACUAGAGUACUGUAGAGGGGGGUAGGAAUUUCAGGUGUAGCGGUGAAAUGCGUAGAGAUCUGAAGGAAUACCGGUGGCGAAGGCGGCCCCCUGGACAGAUACUGACACUCAGAUGCGAAAGCGUGGGGAGCAAACAGGAUUAGAUACCCUGGUAG
Molecule: ribosomal RNA, 477 nt
Filed under: uncultured bacterium
Lineage: Bacteria
Description: bacterial SSU rRNA
Rfam family: Bacterial small subunit ribosomal RNA
Source: RNAcentral